CCUACGGGAGGCAGCAGUGGGGGAUAUUGCACAAUGGGGGAAACCCUGAUGCAGCGACGCCGCGUGAGUGAAGAAGUAUUUCGGUAUGUAAAGCUCUAUCAGCAGGGAAGAAAAUGACAGUACCUGACCAAGAAGCCCUGGCUAACUACGUGCCAGCAGCCGCGGUAAUACGUAGGGGGCAAGCGUUAUCCGGAUUUACUGGGUGUAAAGGGAGCGUAGACGGUUAUGGAAGUCUGGAGUGAAAGCCCUGGGCCCCACCCCGGGACUGCUUUGGAAACUGUGUAACUGGAGUACAGGAGGGGCAGGCUGACUUCCUGGUGUAGCGGUGAACUGCGUAGCUAUCAGGCGGCACACCGGCGGCGACGGCGGCCUGCUGGACUGCACCUGCCGUUGAGGCUCG
RNAcentral lists this ribosomal RNA (400 nucleotides) under uncultured bacterium. RNAcentral's name for it is "partial 16S ribosomal RNA". It matches the Rfam family "Bacterial small subunit ribosomal RNA", at positions 338 to 755 of the family's 1533-position model. The record is from RNAcentral.